UAAACUAGGAUUAGAUACCCUAUUAUUUUAAGCGUAAAUAAUUUACUUAGGUAUUAGUAGUUUUGUUCUUUAAACCUAAAGAAUUUGGCGGUGUUUUAUUCUAUUCAGAGGAAUUUGUCCCGUUAUCGAUAGUCCCCGUUUUAUCUUACUUUAAUUAUUAGUAUGUAUACCGCCGUUAUGAGUUUAUUUUUUUAGGAUUAUUUACUUUUUAUUUUAUUUUGUUGUAUUUCAGGCAAGGGUGCAG
RNAcentral lists this ribosomal RNA (244 nucleotides) under Carausius gardineri. RNAcentral describes it as "partial 12S ribosomal RNA". The record is from RNAcentral. Lineage: Eukaryota; Metazoa; Arthropoda; Insecta; Phasmatodea; Lonchodidae.